AGGAUGACGUAUGAGUUUGAUCCUGGCUCAGUAAGUCGUAACAAGGUAGCCGUAUGAGUUUUAUCCUGGCUCAGUAAGUCGUGACAAGGUAGCCGCAUGAUGUUGGGGGAUAACUACUGGAAACGGUAGCUAAUACCGCAUAACGUCGCAAGACCAAAGAGGGGGACCUUCGGGCCUCUUGCCAUCGGAUGUGCCCAGAUGGGAUUAGCUAGUAGGGGGGGUAACGGCUCACCUAGGCGACGAUCCCUAGCUGGUCUGAGAGGAUGACCAGCCACACUGGAACUGAGACACGGUCCAGACUCCUACGGGAGGCAGCAGUGGGGAAUAUUGCACAAUGGGCGCAAGCCUGAUGCAGCCAUGCCGCGUGUAUGAAGAAGGCCUUCGGGUUGUAAAGUACUUUCAGCGGGGAGGAAGGGAGUAAAGUUAAUACCUUUGCUCAUUGACGUUACCCGCAGAAGAAGCACCGGCUAACUCCGUGCCAGCAGCCGCGGUAAUACGGAGGGUGCAAGCGUUAAUCGGAAUUACUGGGCGUAAAGCGCACGCAGGCGGUUUGUUAAGUCAGAUGUGAAAUCCCCGGGCUCAACCUGGGAACUGCAUCUGAUACUGGCAAGCUUGAGUCUCGUAUAGGGGGGUAGAAUUCCAGGUGUAGCGGUGAAAUGCGUAGAGAUCUGGAGGAAUACCGGUGGCGAAGGCGGCCCCCUGGACGAACACUGACGCUCAGGUGCGAAAGCGUGGGGAGCAAACAGGAUUACAUACCCUGGUAGUCCACGCCGUAAACGAUGUCGACUUGUAGGUUGUGCCCUUGAGGCGUGGCUUCCGGAGCUAACGCGUUAAGUCGACCGCCUGCGGAGUACGGCCGCAAGGUUAAAACUCAAAUGUAUUGACGGGGGCCCACACAACCGUGGGAGCAUGUUGGUUUAAUUUCAAUGCCACGCAAAGAACCUUACCUGGGCUUGACCUCCACGGAAUUUUCAAAGAUAAAGAAGGUGCCUUCCGGAACCGGAAAAACAGGUACUGCAGGGCUUUUAUCCUCUCCCCCUCCCCCAAGGUGGAAUUAUUUCCCCACACGAGGGCAUCCCUAUUCCUUGGUGGCGGGGGACCGGCCGGGAACUCACAAGAAAAUAACAUUCUCA
This 1133-nucleotide ribosomal RNA is filed under the name Shigella flexneri. RNAcentral describes it as "bacterial SSU rRNA". It matches the Rfam family "Bacterial small subunit ribosomal RNA", at positions 1 to 1160 of the family's 1533-position model. The record is from RNAcentral. Lineage: Bacteria; Pseudomonadati; Pseudomonadota; Gammaproteobacteria; Enterobacterales; Enterobacteriaceae.